AUCUAAGGCCAUACCACCCUGAACGUACUCAAUCUCAACUGAUCUCGGAAGCUAAGCAAGGUAGGGGUUUGUUAGUACUUGGAUGGGAGACCGCUUGGGAAUACCGGGUGCUGUAGGCU
This 119-nucleotide ribosomal RNA is filed under the name Ornithorhynchus anatinus (platypus). The record is from RNAcentral. Lineage: Eukaryota; Metazoa; Chordata; Mammalia; Monotremata; Ornithorhynchidae.